Molecule: transfer RNA, 67 nt
Filed under: Marmota monax (woodchuck)
Lineage: Eukaryota; Metazoa; Chordata; Mammalia; Rodentia; Sciuridae
Description: tRNA.Ala
Source: RNAcentral
GGCUGUAGCUCAGAGGCAGAGCACUUGCCUAGCAUGUGUGAGGUACUGGGUUCAAUUCUUAGCACCA